Molecule: non-coding RNA, 76 nt
Organism: Parelaphostrongylus tenuis
Lineage: Eukaryota; Metazoa; Nematoda; Chromadorea; Rhabditida; Metastrongylidae
Source: the annotation of a GenBank genome assembly
GCCUCGGUGGUGUAAUGGUAGUAGCACGCGUAUCCGGUAUGGACGAAACUGCGGGUUCGAUACCCUCCUAAGGACG